Molecule: ribosomal RNA, 253 nt
Filed under: uncultured bacterium
Lineage: Bacteria
Description: partial 16S ribosomal RNA
Rfam family: Bacterial small subunit ribosomal RNA
Source: RNAcentral
UACGUAGGGGGCAAGCGUUGUCCGGAAUCAUUGGGCGUAAAGAGCGUGUAGGCGGUCCGAUAAGUCCGCUCUGAAAGCCCGGGGCUCAACCCCGGGAGGCGGGCGGAUACUGUCGGGCUAGAGUCCGGAAGAGGCAAGUGGAAUUCCUGGUGUAGCGGUGAAAUGCGCAGAUAUCAGGAGGAACACCAAUGGCGAAGGCAGCUCUCUGGGACGGUACUGACGCUGAGACGCGAAAGCGUGGGGAGCGAACAGG